Molecule: long non-coding RNA, 2445 nt
Organism: Glycine soja
Lineage: Eukaryota; Viridiplantae; Streptophyta; Magnoliopsida; Fabales; Fabaceae
Exons: 2
Source: RefSeq, a predicted model, not a curated record
GGGGGGGGGGGGGGAUAGAUAUUGUAGGUCCUCUUGUAAAAGUAAAAGACUAAAAAAACCAAAAAGAAUAAAGAUAAAGAUGAUUCUAAGCAUCGGGGACAAAAAGGAGUUCCCUCUAUCACUCUUCUUGAGUACACGGUCACUUGUGAGGUUGAGAUUUAUUUUUCUAUCCUUCAAAAUAUCAAAUCCAUUACAUACCUUAAAUAUAGGAUAAACCUAACUUAUCACAAUAAUUUUGACUAUGUUAUUGGUGAUCAUUGUCUUCUGAGUAAACGAGUUUUUCUCGGUGCUAGUAAAGGCCAACCCGACUUUACUUAUGUGUGUGAAGAUAUGUUCAAGGAUUUGGACAUAUCUUUACUUUUUAUUUAUUUUGAGUGUGAGGUUUUAACCAAGAUGAAUGUUACUCCUACUCUACUCCAUCCAAAUAGUUGGACCUUUACAAAGGCAUUUUUAACUCUUUGCUAUUAUUUUAAUAUCACUUCCAUUGUCAACAAAUUUUUGUACUUUUAUUGGGUUUAGGCAAGUCAGGGAAGGUUGGGUGGGUUUCCAUGACAGGUGCACAUGGGUCUUUGUUCACCUUGUUCAACUCCUCUAAGAAGAAAUUCAAGACUCGUUUUCAUAAGAUUAAAUUGAACCCAAUUUAUCCCGACCGCACAAGUCUUUUCAAUAAAUUUGAUGGAGAAACUAGGAGAUUUCCCUUUUAUUGGCAAGAAUUCUGUAAAGGUUUAAAUCUUAGGAAAGGCUAUUACUAUCUCCCAAGGAUAGGUGAGAUAUUAACAUAAUUAUGGAGUUUCCAAGGAGAAUGAAUAUCAAGGUAGUCCUUAACUUGCCUUAUAGUGGCGAUGUUGAAAAAGCUUUAGAGGGUAAGCUUUUAUUAAGUUUUGAAUAUUGGUGUAGAUUAGAGUUGUUACUAACUUAUUUUUUUUAAAAAAAUCUUUUUGCAAUGCACAGGAAUCAUGAAAGGUUUCAAUUUCAAGAUGAUUCAGGCUUCUGGAAUCUUAGAAUCCCAACAUACCACCAACACUUGUUGACCUAGUGAAGCCUAAGAAGAGGAAGACAAUUGCUAUUGAGGUCGAUCAACCAAGUGACAAAAUCAAACAACAGUCUAAAACUGCCAAGGUCGUAGUGAUGGAUAAGUGAUGUUCUCUAGAAAAAGAGAAAGGUAGAAAACAACAAGAGGUUUGCAAGAAGAAGACUUUGAAUGUGGAAGAGCCUACUACUAAAGGUAGGAAUGUUGAUGUGAUCCACCCACAAAACAAUGAGGAGCCGAUCACUAAUGUUGAUGUUAGUAACAAGCACAUGGAGAAGUCAACUACUACAACUCCACCUAAUCCAUAAGGUGAAAAAAAUGUUCCUCAAAAUACUUCGUCUGAAAAGCGAAGUGGAGGUAUGUGAUCCAACAUCAUCAAGGCCCUCUACAUAUGGUUGAUCAUGUAACUGUAACUCAUGAUCUUCCUUCGUUAUGGGAUGUCAACAUCAAGGGAUCUGAGUUCAUCAUCACUGAUAGACUACUUACAAAGAUUGACUCUGAGAUGAUGGACUUCAUUGGAGCCGACAACAACUUGGAUUCUAUAUAAGUCUUUCUUUACAGAUCUGUUGUUGCCAUCUAUCAUUGGAGGAACAAAUAUGUUGACAUGGAAACAAAGUUCAUGGCUAGUUUGGAGGAUAAGAGGAAAUUGGUCAAAGCCCUCAAUGAGAAAAACUCAUUUAUGAUUAGAAAGAUUGAGAUCAUUAAGGGUCUUCAAAAUAAAAUUAUUGACCAUGAGAAGAUGGUUUCCAUGAAGGUUGUAGAAAACGAAAAGCUUGUUAAGGAAAUUAAAAGUAUGAACAUGAAUUUCUAUUUUGCAGUUAAGGACUUAGCAGAAACCAAGAACAUUGUCAAGGCCUUAAAUGAUUAACUAACUGCUUAGGAAGAAAAGAAGAAAGCUUUGGAGUUAGAGAGAGAAUAAUAUGCUAAAAGAGAGAGAUUUGGUCGAUCAAUAGACUUCCAAACUACAAACACAACUUGUUGAUCAAAAGAAAGAAACAAAAAAGAUUAGUGUUGAGCAUGUGUUGCAGCUGCAACAAGCAUUCAUGAUAGGUCAUGAAGAUGGCUUCAAAAACGCUCUCCGCCAACUUGGUUUAUUCACCUCUAAUAUAAAUUUAGAGAAAUUCAAUGUAUUGAAAGAUGUAAAGGAUGAGGAGUUAGUGAGAGAGUCUCAAAUGGAAAGUUCUGAGGAGGCUUCUAAUAAUGAGAUGAUUUCUAAAGCAGAUGAUGUUGAGGCGACCUCAAACUUUGUUCUACCUUUAAAUCCUCUAAUGACUUAGUUUUUAUAAGAUAAUCAGGGCUUUCGGUUUUAUGUUGUAAUGAGAUGUUUUAUAUUUCAAAUUAUCUUGUACCAAGAUAUUAGAGUAUGAAAUAUAUUGUAUUAAGUUUAAUGUUUAAUGAGAUCAGUGUUUGACAAA